UCCAGAUAAUUUAAAUUGUAUCUGAUUUAUGGUGGCUGUAGGCAAAUUUCUGGUUUCCUGCUAAGUACCACCUUUCACCAGGGCUUUCCCCAUUGUGCUUUUUGCUCCCUUCCCAACUCAAUCAAUCAGUUUCAGCUUGUAAUUCUGUAUUAAUUACUCUCCGGUGUCUCGGCAAAAGCCAAAACGAAAAAAGAAUCAAAAACAAUAUAAAAAAACCCCGAACACACUGAAUCGUUCGAUUAUAUGUAAAUGCCUUGCCAGACGGCUGAUAAAACAGUAAGAACGAAAACUGUUCAUCAGAUAAGAGUCCCAGACCGGCGAGCAUAUAUAUAUUUCAAAAUCGGAUAAUGGCGCUACGUAGAAGGGAAAUACCCAUUUGACCGAUAGCCUCCAGCAACGAAGUUCUCAAGUCAUAUUUCCGCUGAAAGGUUCAAAAAUCAAUAAACGAAAUACCACUGUAAACUGAUCAAAACUGGUUAUCUGAGGACUGUUCCUACGUCAGCAUAACUCAAAAGCCAUCAUGCCCGCCUGGCAACUAAAAAGUACUUUAGCAAACUGUUUUUUUCUCCGCUUAAAAACCUAAUUUAAAAAGCAUAUUUUUGCUUUGUUUUUGAGGACA
This is a long non-coding RNA of Drosophila mauritiana, 619 nucleotides long. RefSeq lists it as uncharacterized. The transcript is spliced from 3 exons. NCBI's taxonomy places the organism in Eukaryota, Metazoa, Arthropoda, Insecta, Diptera, Drosophilidae. The record is from RefSeq and is a predicted model, not a curated record.